This 429-nucleotide ribosomal RNA is filed under the name Gemmatimonadota bacterium. RNAcentral's name for it is "Gemmatimonadetes bacterium partial 16S ribosomal RNA". It matches the Rfam family "Bacterial small subunit ribosomal RNA", at positions 355 to 776 of the family's 1533-position model. Lineage: Bacteria; Pseudomonadati; Gemmatimonadota. The record is from RNAcentral.
UAGGGAAUCUUCGGCAAUGGACGAAAGUCUGACCGAGCAACGCCGCGUGAGUGAAGAAGGUUUUCGGAUCGUAAAACUCUGUUGUUAGAGAAGAACAAGGACGUUAGUAACUGAACGUCCCCUGACGGUAUCUAACCAGAAAGCCACGGCUAACUACGUGCCAGCAGCCGCGGUAAUACGUAGGUGGCAAGCGUUGUCCGGAUUUAUUGGGCGUAAAGCGAGCGCAGGCGGUUUCUUAAGUCUGAUGUGAAAGCCCCCGGCUCAACCGGGGAGGGUCAUUGGAAACUGGGAGACUUGAGUGCGGAAGAGGAGAGUGGAAUUCCAUGUGUAGCGGUGAAAUGCGUAGAUAUAUGGAGGAACACCAGUGGCGAAGGCGGCUCUCUGGUCUGUAACUGACGCUGAGGCUCGAGAGCGUGGGGAGCAAACAGG